Molecule: transfer RNA, 72 nt
Filed under: Camelus bactrianus (Bactrian camel)
Lineage: Eukaryota; Metazoa; Chordata; Mammalia; Artiodactyla; Camelidae
Also listed under: 2 other names
Rfam family: tRNA
About the family: Transfer RNA (tRNA) molecules are approximately 80 nucleotides in length. Their secondary structure includes four short double-helical elements and three loops (D, anti-codon, and T loops). Further hydrogen bonds mediate the characteristic L-shaped molecular structure. tRNAs have two regions of fundamental functional importance: the anti-codon, which is responsible for specific mRNA codon recognition, and the 3' end, to which the tRNAs corresponding amino acid is attached (by aminoacyl-tRNA synthetases). tRNAs cope with the degeneracy of the genetic code in two manners: having more than one tRNA (with a specific anti-codon) for a particular amino acid; and 'wobble' base-pairing, i.e. permitting non-standard base-pairing at the 3rd anti-codon position.
Source: Rfam by way of RNAcentral
GGGGGUAUAGCUCAGUGGUAGAGCACAUGCUUAGCAUGCAGGAGGUCCUGGGUUCAAUCCCCAUUACCUCCA